This 449-nucleotide ribosomal RNA is filed under the name uncultured bacterium. Its description in RNAcentral is "partial 16S ribosomal RNA". It matches the Rfam family "Bacterial small subunit ribosomal RNA", at positions 30 to 523 of the family's 1533-position model. The record is from RNAcentral.
AUUGAACGCUGGCGGCAUGCCUAACACAUGCAAGUCGAACGAAGCCUUCGGGCUUAGUGGCGCACGGGUGCGUAACGCGUGGGAAUCUGCCCUUGGGUUCGGAAUAACAGUUAGAAAUGACUGCUAAUACCGGAUGAUGUCUUCGGACCAAAGAUUUAUCGCCCAAGGAUGAGCCCGCGUAGGAUUAGGUAGUUGGUGGGGUAAUGGCCCACCAAGCCGACGAUCCUUAGCUGGUCUGAGAGGAUGAUCACCCACACUGGGAUUGAGACACGGCCUAGACCCCUACGGGAGGGAGCAGUGGGGAAUAUUGGACAAUGGGCGAAAGCCUGAUCCAGCAAUGCCGCGUGAGUGAUGAAGGCCUUAGGGUUGUAAAGCUCUUUUACCAGGGAUGAUAAUGACAGUACCUGGAGAAUAAGCUCCGGCUAACUCCGUGCCAGCCGCCGCCGUAA